UACAGAGGUCCCGAGCGUUGUUCGGAUUUACUGGGCGUAAAGGGCGCGUAGGCGGCGUGACAAGUCACUUGUGAAAUCUCCGGGCUUAACCCGGAGCGGCCAAGUGAUACUGUCGUGCUAGAGUGCGGAAGGGGCUACUGGAAUUCUCGGUGUAGCGGUGAAAUGCGUAGAUAUCGAGAGGAACACCUGCGGCGAAGGCGGGUAGCUGGGCCGACACUGACGCUGAGGCGCGAAAGCCAGGGGAGCGAACGGG
RNAcentral lists this ribosomal RNA (253 nucleotides) under uncultured bacterium. RNAcentral's name for it is "partial 16S ribosomal RNA". It matches the Rfam family "Bacterial small subunit ribosomal RNA", at positions 524 to 776 of the family's 1533-position model. The record is from RNAcentral.